Molecule: long non-coding RNA, 469 nt
Organism: Octodon degus (degu)
Lineage: Eukaryota; Metazoa; Chordata; Mammalia; Rodentia; Octodontidae
Exons: 3
Source: RefSeq, a predicted model, not a curated record
GUCCCCGCCUGCAGAGUCAGUGUGCGGUUUGGGAGAAAAUGUGUCGGAUAUUUUGGGGCGGUCACGUGGGCGGGCGGGCUCCGAGAGGCCCCGGGACAGUCCCAGCCUAGAGCCGUGCCCCCCAGAAGCCCCCCAUUGCCCCGCAAGCCCCGGACGCGGCGACGCUGCGUCCCGAGACCGCCUGCACCCAGAUCCCGGGGCUCCGCGGCCUCCCUUCCCCGCCCCCCUCCAGGUGAGUCAAGCUGUGAAGCCGGCUCACCGGCCGGGUCCGCCACGGACGCCGGGUCCCGCCGAGCAGUUCCUGCCCAGUCCCCUCAGUCUGACCCAGUAUGUAGGGCAGAAUCUCUGCAGGUGGUCAGAGGGGCUUGUGUCCUGGGCAGCUGGAAUCCUAGUCCUCAAAUCGGAAGCACCAGCUUUUAAAGUGACUUUCCAUGCUGAGGAGUAAGGUGGAGGACUACAGCCUAUAUCC